CAGAGGGGGCAAGCGUUAUUCGGAAUUAUUGGGCGUAAAGGGCGCGUAGGCGGCUUUUCAAGUGACGGGUGAAAUCCCUCGGCUUAACCGAGGAACUGCCUGUCAGACUGGAAGGCUUGAGACCGGGAGAGGUGAGUGGAAUUCCCAGUGUAGCGGUGAAAUGCGUAGAUAUUGGGAAGAACACCAGUGGCGAAGGCGGCUCACUGGACCGGAACUGACGCUGAGGCGCGAAAGCGUGGGGAGCAAACAGGAUUAGAUACCCUGGUAGUCCACGCCGUAAACGAUGAGUGCUUGGUGUAGCGGGUAUCAACCCCUGCUGUGCCGAAGUCAACACAUUAAGCACUCCGCCUGGGGAGUACGGUCGCAAGACUG
Molecule: ribosomal RNA, 372 nt
Filed under: uncultured organism
Description: bacterial SSU rRNA
Rfam family: Bacterial small subunit ribosomal RNA
Source: RNAcentral